UUCAGUUUAUUGGUCAUCUUUGCAGGUGCUCAGGACAGCUGCAGCACAGGCAGCAACAAUGCGAGCCUUGCCUGCACCACCCCGUCCACGGGCGUCGACCCUCACCUGGAGGGACCACCUCUAGUGGCCCGUACUGUCCAAGGACAGUAGUUGUUCCACAGCC
Molecule: small RNA, 163 nt
Filed under: Dasypus novemcinctus (nine-banded armadillo)
Lineage: Eukaryota; Metazoa; Chordata; Mammalia; Cingulata; Dasypodidae
Description: TUC338 (ENSDNOG00000033938.1)
Source: RNAcentral